RNAcentral lists this ribosomal RNA (460 nucleotides) under uncultured bacterium. RNAcentral describes it as "partial 16S ribosomal RNA". It matches the Rfam family "Bacterial small subunit ribosomal RNA", at positions 338 to 795 of the family's 1533-position model. The record is from RNAcentral.
CCUACGGGUGGCAGCAGUGAGGAAUAUUGGUCAAUGGACGAGAGUCUGAACCAGCCACGUAGCGUGAAGGAUGACGGCCCUAUGGGUUGUAAACUUCUUUUAUAUGGGAAUAAAAUGUUCCACGUGUGGGAUUUUGUAUGUACCAUAUGAAUAAGGAUCGGCUAACUCCGUGCCAGCAGCCGCGGUAAUACGGAGGAUCCGAGCGUUAUCCGGAUUUAUUGGGUUUAAAGGGAGAGUAGGUGGAAUGUUAAGUGAGUUGUGAAAGUGUGGGGCUCAACCGUGAAAUUGCAGUUGAAACUGGCAGUCUUGAGGACAGUAGAGGUGGGCGGAAUUCGUGGUGUAGCGGUGAAAUGCUUAGAUAUCACGAAGAACUCCGAUUGCGAAGGCAGCUCACUGGACUGUAACUGACGUUGAGGCUCGAAAGCGUGGGGAGCAAACAGGAUUAGAUACCCGUGUAGUC